This 378-nucleotide unclassified non-coding RNA is filed under the name uncultured Actinomycetes bacterium. Its description in RNAcentral is "uncultured actinobacterium contains 16S-23S intergenic spacer region". Lineage: Bacteria; Bacillati; Actinomycetota; Actinomycetes. The record is from RNAcentral.
UCCGAGUUGACCCCGGCAGUCUCCUGUGAGUCCCCGCCAUAACGCGCUGGCAACACAGAACGAGGGUUGCGCUCGUUGCGGGACUUAACCCAACAUCUCACGACACGAGCUGACGACAACCAUGCACCACCUGUCCACCAGCCCCGAAGGGAAACCCCAUCUCUGGGGUGGUCCGGUGGAUGUCAAGCCUUGGUAAGGUUCUUCGCGUUGCAUCGAAUUAAUCCGCAUGCUCCGCCGCUUGUGCGGGCCCCCGUCAAUUCCUUUGAGUUUUAAUCUUGCGACCGUACUCCCCAGGCGGGGCACUUAAUGCGUUAGCUUCGGCACGGAAGGAGUCGACACCUCCCACACCUAGUGCCCAUCGUUUACGGCGUGGACUAC